Molecule: long non-coding RNA, 389 nt
Filed under: Solanum lycopersicum (tomato)
Lineage: Eukaryota; Viridiplantae; Streptophyta; Magnoliopsida; Solanales; Solanaceae
Description: long non-coding RNA (SLYC_LNC000124)
Source: RNAcentral
AAGAAAGUGGGCACUACUUGGAAAGAGACUCUUGUCUAUUUCAUAACCUUCUUUCCUUCUUCCUUCCUUGCCUUCUUAUCCAUCUUCUUCUUCUAAGAAAUCGAAAAUCAACCAAAUGGGGAAUUGCCAGGCUGUUGAUGCAGCUGCACUAGUAAUACAACAUCCAAAUGGUAAGAUAGACAGGAUGUAUUGGCCUAUGACAGCUAGUGAAGUUAUGAAAAUGAACCCUGGUCACUAUGUUUCACUCAUCAUACCUCUUCCUAUCUCCUCCGAUGACAACUCCAAUGAUAAAACUGUUCGUUUCACACGCGUUAAACUUCUCCGUCAAACAGACACUUUAGUCCUUGGCAGAGCUUAUAGACUUGUCACAACACAAGGUAUGUGUGAUG